UCUCUUAGGUUUGAACACAUGAAUGUAAUUUCUGAAUCAUUUGGAAAUUCUAUGUGGAAUUUUUUGAGGAAUUGUCAAAACAAUUUUGGACCAGUAUUUUGAAAUUUUUUUUCAAACAAAAAACAUGUUGUUUUCUAUAUUGACAGCAUACACACUGGCAAGGUCUAGCUGCAAUUUGAGAAGAACUCGGAAAUCAGGAGAUAAGUAUUCUUGCACUCAAAAGAAGGGCAGAAGUCAGCCUCCCUUGUGAUCUACAGUCUGGAUCUCCUAUCUGAAACCCUGCUUCCGGCGGCAUGGCUAUUCAUAUAUGUGAGCUGAAAUCAAAGCUAAAGAAGGUGAAGUCCCACUAUUUUGCCCUAGUCACUCCCAAACUUGAAUCCUUCCCACCAAACCUCCCCCAAUAGCUUCUUUGUGGCGCACUCCAUGACCAGCAGGGAAGGACGACCACGAGUCGAGGAUUCUUCUGCAAAUCACGCUUUAUUGGAGCCUCUUGGUUGAAAGGAGAGUGGAAGCGAGGGGCGCCAAGCAGCGGCUGCUUAUAUAGGGGAGCAGGCUAAAGCACAGGAGCUAUGGUGAGAAACUGUUAACUGUGAACUCCAGAAACACCGGCCAGAUCCCCAUUAACUGUUACGCUGUGUUCCUUCUAAUAGACUGGGUACUGAUUAAAAGAAAAAUGAUCACACUCACACAUCUGGACUCACGAAGGCAGCUUCCAGUGAAUGCUUUCUCUUCUUGGAGAAAAUGUCCUGAGACAAGAAUUUUUGGGUCACGGUUUAAUCAAUUUUCAAUGUUUUAAAUCCUGCUUGCAGCCAACAUAGGAUUAUAUUUGGCACUUGGGGACAAAGAUGGCAUGGAGAACUAAAACCUGCAGAUAAUCCUAUAAGCUCAUUUAGAACAAAGGUUUAAUUAUACCCCUAUCAAGUGAGUCUUUUAUCUGAGCUGAGUGGAAAUAAACAACAAAUUGGUGAUCUUCAUCUGGUCUGCUUGCUUCUGGAGGCCUUGGCAAGAGGCACACACACUGGAGUGGAGGAGACAGGCAAAGAUUCUGCACAGGACAACAGGAUUAUGCUUGGUCGUUUUGGUCAGAGAUGUGUUAAACGCAUCACUGCAUACAUCUUUGGCCUUUCUACGCGAAGAAAUAAACAUUUGACAAUUUGUUUCAGGGUGGACUGAAACUCGUCUGGGAAUGUUAUGUACUUUCUAAUGACUAAUUUUCCUCCUUUGUAAACCAAGAGGUUAAGUGGUACUGUUUCUGGAGAUGGAGGUGGCCAAGUGCCAGGGUUUGUGUGGGUGAAACAGAAACAAGAGAGGGCACCAAUGGGGGACUAACUUGUGCCGUGGCCAAGGGGCUGGGCUCUAGUCCUUUUAUGUCAUCUUGUACCGUCUGCUUGUCAACAAUCAUAAGAAGCUGAUGUCUAGAUGUAAAGCCUAUGGCACCCUAGCAGGAUAUCCAUCUUAUCUGUUAGAAAGUUCUUUAAUCUACUUCCAUUACCAACACUGCAGUAUGGAUUUAUUGUGAAAGUAUUUAAUAAUUGUUACAACACCAGGCAUUGACCUACAAGAAUGGGAACAGAUGGUUAUUUGGAAUCUAAGGUCCAAUUGCCUAUUGCAUGGACCCUGUAAUGGCCUUCAAGUGGACCCUCUACAGGUAGAGUGAUCUUUGUCAAGGGUAUAUACCAUUUGGUUAUACCUGCCUUUGGGUUCUUAAAACAUUUCUAUGAUUCCUUCCUAUAACCUUUAAGACAAAGAGCAUCCUUUGUACAGUGUUUAAGUACUCCGUUACUAUGUGUUUGUGGUACCAUGGAUAACUUAUCUCCUUUACGAAGAUAUCACCUCCAUGAAAGGAGAGAUGACACCCCCUCCCAUAAUUACGUUCUCAACGAUCAUUCAAUAUAGUAUUGACUUAGACCUGGAAUUUACUGAAUGCUCUUUGAAUGAAUAAAUUAAUAAGAAAAUAAUCCAAACCUUCCCCCAUG
Molecule: long non-coding RNA, 1976 nt
Organism: Alexandromys fortis (reed vole)
Lineage: Eukaryota; Metazoa; Chordata; Mammalia; Rodentia; Cricetidae
Exons: 7
Source: RefSeq, a predicted model, not a curated record